CAGGUGAAUUUUUUAAAGAUUUUAUUUUAUUAUAAAAUGUUUGCUUAAAGAACAGGAAUUACAAUCCAGCAUUUGUUCCAUUGAUGCUGGAAAAGUCAUUGAAGUAUUUGGUAAAAUUAGGAUUUGAACAGAGCAAAUGAUUUAACACGUCAGUUACUACAUUAGCAGAAAGUUAUUUGGAGAAUAGAAUGCACAUAUUAUUAAAGCCAUUUCACUUUAAUCUCAAGUUUAUAUCAAAGAUUUAUUGUAGCAAAACCUGGAAUUAUGUUUAUCAGGAAAUAAUCGUUCGUUUACAGUCUAAGAAACAGAAAAGUCCAAAAGAUGAGUUGUCAUUUUAAGUUCCCACAAAUGUAUUUAUUCACUAAACCCUGAGUUAGACAUGAUCGGGGGUGGUAGGUAUUCAUUAUGGGUAAUUAAUCACAUGUAGAUGAAGCUCAGGGUAAACCGUAACAGGGUGCAUAGUUUGCAUUGACCGUUUGAGGAGCUCACUUUUCGUGUUAAUGUGAUGCCAUUCUAGAUAUAGAGAGCCUCCUUCAGUACCUUUACUGAGCUUGUUCACUGUUUAAAUCCCUGAUUUUCAGAGUCGUGUAAACGUUACCUACCUGGCACACAUGAAUGAAUCAACUAUACUAAUCUUAUUUGGGUGAGGGUUCCCGACAUGAAUGAAUCAACUAUACUAAUCUUAUUUGGGUGAGGGUUCCCGACAUGAAUGAAUCAGCUAUACUAAUCUUAUUUGGGUGAGGGUUCCCGAAAUGAAUGAAUCAACUAUACUAAUCUUAUUUGGGUGAGGGUUCCCGAAAUGAAUGAAUCAACUAUACUAAUCUUAUUUGGGUGAGGGUUCCCGACAUGAAUGAAUCAGCUAUACUAAUCUUAUUUGGGUGAGGGUUCCCGACAUGAAUGAAUCAACUAUACUAAUCUUAUUUGGGUGAGGGUUCCCGAAAUGAAUGAAUCAACUAUACUAAUCUUAUUUGGGUGAGGACACCUGACAUGAAUGAAUCAACUAUACUAAUCUUAUUUGGGUGAGGGUUCCCGACAUGAAUGAAUCAACUAUACUAAUCUUAUUUGGGUGAGGGUUCCCAACAUGAAUGAAUCAACUAUACUAAUCUUAUUUGGGUGAGGAUCCCCAAUAUGAAUGAAUCAACUAUACUAAUCUUAUUUGGGUGAGGGUUCCCGACAUGAAUGAAUCAACUAUACUAAUCUUAUUUGGGUGAGGACACCCGACAUGAAUGAAUCAACUAUACUAAUCUUAUUUGGGUGAGGGUUACCGAAAUGAAUGAAUCAACUAUACUAAUCUUAUUUGGGUGAGGGUUCCCGAAAUGAAUGAAUCAACUAUACUAAUCUUAUUUGGGUGAGGACACCCGACAUGAAUGAAUCAACUAUACUAAUCUUAUUUGGGUGAGGACACCCGACAUGAAUGAAUCAACUAUACUAAUCUUAUUUGGGUGAGGGUUACCGAAAUGAAUGAAUCAACUAUACUAAUCUUAUUUGGGUGAGGGUUCCCGAAAUGAAUGAAUCAACUAUACUAAUCUUAUUUGGGUGAGGGUUCCCGACAUGAAUGAAUCAACUAUACUAAUUUUAUUUGGGUGAGGGUUCCCAACAUGAA
This 1603-nucleotide long non-coding RNA is filed under the name Pelobates cultripes (western spadefoot toad). The record is from RNAcentral. Lineage: Eukaryota; Metazoa; Chordata; Amphibia; Anura; Pelobatidae.